This is a long non-coding RNA of Anneissia japonica, 1097 nucleotides long. RefSeq lists it as uncharacterized. Lineage: Eukaryota; Metazoa; Echinodermata; Crinoidea; Comatulida; Comatulidae. The record is from RefSeq and is a predicted model, not a curated record. The transcript is spliced from 5 exons.
UUCCAGAAAACCGCGUGACAUGAAUUGACGUGACGACGGAAAUGGUGGACGAGGUGUAUUUUAGCACAAAAAAAACCACCAUGUUUUGUUUAUGAUUAAUGGCCCAGGGUAUAUUCGUGAUGGAUGGUACUUGCUUCAGCGUUAUUGUGGCCAUUUUCACUCAAUAUUCUGAACGCAUCACCUGUGUAGACUUUGCCAAAAUGCCAAAAGAACCACGUGAACUAAUGGCGGAUAGAGUGAUUGGAUGAAUUCUAGCAAAAAAACUCCAUAAUGUGCUGUAUCAUAGGGUAUUUCCGUGAUGUGUAUAUCAACAACUACUAAGGAAAGUAGUUGUUCCUACAAUAUUCAUUAGUGCAAGAUAGCAAGACUAAUUGAGGACAGACAAAUCUCUACUGUAAGAUAUAUGCAUCAAAGAAUCAUUGGCGUUAUGUAGCAGGAGAGCAUGACCAAUGUUGCAAGACAAGAAAAAUACACUGAAAUUCAGUUGGAACAUCUUGAAGAGUUCGAAAGAGUAAUCCCGGUGAAAGAACACAAACAAUUAUUGUAUCUUCAACAAACAAGUUACUGGAUCAAAAGAACUUGCAUCAUUCUCAAAUAUUAUUGAUCAUAUUGUACAGAAGUUAUGAUCGAAUUACAGUAAGAUGAGGAACCAGAAUUUCUAUAAUUAAUGUAUCUAAUAUAGACCUAGGCCGUGUAAAGCAAUCUAACUUUUAGUUAAUUUAAUUGAUUAUGCCUAAUAGUUAUACUGGUGAGUUUAACAUCUUGCUGAAUAUUGUGACAUCUUAAGCACGGUGAAAGAAAACAUACAGCGAUUGUAUUUUUAUCAGAAUAUCGAAGGAAUUGAACAAAUUAUUUUGAAUGACAAGUUAUUGCAGCAUCAAGACAGCUUGUAUCAUUGUAAAAUAUUAUUAUGCCCGAUAGUUAGAUUGUAUUUUUAUCGGAAUAUCAAGACAGCUUGUAUCAUUGUAAAAUAUUGAACUAAAAGAAACAAUUUCCUAUAAUUAAUUUUUCAUAUAAGUUAUGUACAUUUAUAUAUUCAAAAUAUAUUAUGAUUUUGGUUGUAAGGUUUUUAUAAUAAAAAAUAUAAGUAAUGUGUU